GGAUUGGUAGUUUAAGGGUAAAACAUCUCUCUUGUAAAGAGCAAUUCACAGUUCGAUUCUGUGCCUUUCCUCA
This 73-nucleotide transfer RNA is filed under the name Crassvirales sp. RNAcentral's name for it is "tRNA-Thr". It matches the Rfam family "tRNA". From Rfam's summary of the family: Transfer RNA (tRNA) molecules are approximately 80 nucleotides in length. Lineage: Duplodnaviria; Heunggongvirae; Uroviricota; Caudoviricetes; Crassvirales. The record is from RNAcentral.